Molecule: unclassified non-coding RNA, 379 nt
Filed under: uncultured Alphaproteobacteria bacterium
Lineage: Bacteria; Pseudomonadati; Pseudomonadota; Alphaproteobacteria
Description: contains 16S-23S intergenic spacer region
Source: RNAcentral
UCGCUACUUGCGUAGGCAGUCCACUUAGAGUGCCCAGCUUGACCUGAUGGCAACUAAGUGCAGGGGUUGCGCUCGUUGCAGGACUUAACCUAACACCUCACGACACGAGCUGACGACAGCCAUGCAGCACCUGUGCUCUAGGCUCCGAAGAGAAGGUCACAUCUCUGCGACCGGUCCUAGACAUGUCAAGGGCUGGUAAGGUUCUGCGCGUUGCGUCGAAUUAAACCACAUGCUCCACCGCUUGUGCGGGCCCCCGUCAAUUCCUUUGAGUUUCAACCUUGCGGCCGUACUCCCCAGGCGGGAUGCUUAAUGCGUUAGCUGCGCCACUGAUAAGCAUGCUUACCAACGGCUAGCAUCCAUCGUUUACGGCGUGGACUAC